UGGGGAAUUUUGGACAAUGGGCGCAAGCCUGAUCCAGCCAUGCCGCGUGUCUGAAGAAGGCCUUCGGGUUGUAAAGGACUUUUGUCAGGGAAGAAAAGGGCGGGGUUAAUACCCCUGUCUGAUGACGGUACCUGAAGAAUAAGCACCGGCUAACUACGUGCCAGCAGCCGCGGUAAUACGUAGGGUGCGAGCGUUAAUCGGAAUUACUGGGCGUAAAGCGGGCGCAGACGGUUACUUAAGCAGGAUGUGAAAUCCCCGGGCUCAACCUGGGAACUGCGUUCUGAACUGGGUGACUAGAGUGUGUCAGAGGGAGGUAGAAUUCCACGUGUAGCAGUGAAAUGCGUAGAGAUGUGGAGGAAUACCGAUGGCGAAGGCAGCCUCCAUGGAUAACACUGACGUUCAUGCCCGAAAGCGUGGGAAGCAAACA
This 427-nucleotide ribosomal RNA is filed under the name uncultured bacterium. RNAcentral describes it as "partial 16S ribosomal RNA". It matches the Rfam family "Bacterial small subunit ribosomal RNA", at positions 355 to 774 of the family's 1533-position model. The record is from RNAcentral.